Long non-coding RNA from Erinaceus europaeus (western European hedgehog), 745 nucleotides. RefSeq lists it as uncharacterized. The record is from RefSeq and is a predicted model, not a curated record. NCBI's taxonomy places the organism in Eukaryota, Metazoa, Chordata, Mammalia, Eulipotyphla, Erinaceidae. The transcript has 2 exons.
AAUGUUUCAGAAGGAAGCUUCUAGAAAUCUUACUUCAGCCUAGGGAACUCAGGAUGACCCAUUCCACACAUAUUUCACUGAGUCUCUACAGUGUGUCACUCAGAAGACACCUAGCAAACUGCACUUGUUAUUCCAAAUCCCUUGGCUCCCUGCUGAGCAGAAGCUGCAGGAAACUGCCUGCCUGAGGAAUCUGCCUUCCCAUGGAAUCUGCCUUUCCAUGUGUGGUUGUCAAGACACACUUGUUGGCAAAACACAUUGAGAGCAGGAAUCAACAGAAAAGGUGACAAUGACAACAUAGCUGAGUUGAGAAAGCUGCCAGCUGUGGGUAAGAACCAAAGCAGAGCUCUUCCCAUAAGAAAUGUCAGCCUGGGGCAUGGGGAGGUGGCUCAGUGGUGAGGCACCAGCCUUGCAUGAGCAAGACACUGGGCUUACUCUGGCUCCACAGGCAGAAGGACAUGAGCGUAGAACUGACCAUAAACAGCAGAUGAUCAAAUUUACAGCUUAAAUUGAUAAUAUUGAGGGUCAGGCUGUAGUGUACCUGAUUGAGUGCACAAGGGCCUGGGUUCAAGCCCCCAGUCCCUACCUGCAGGAAUAAAGUUUCACAAGUGGUGAAGCAUGUCUGCAGGUGUCUCUCUUUCUCUCUUCCUCUCUGUCUCCCCUUUCCCUGACAAUUUGUCUGUCUCUAUCCAGUAAGUACAUAAAUAAGUAUACUACUAAAAAUAAAAUAAAAAUAAAAGUGGCACUA